Molecule: long non-coding RNA, 1574 nt
Organism: Lonchura striata (white-rumped munia)
Lineage: Eukaryota; Metazoa; Chordata; Aves; Passeriformes; Estrildidae
Source: Ensembl
UGGCACCCAUCACACCUGUGACACCCAUCACACCUGGGGCACGCAUUGCAUGGAUGGUGCAGUCACACCUGUGACACACCUGUGGCACCUGUGGCACACCUGGCACCUGCAUGGAUGGGGGGCAGCCAUCGCACCUGUAUCACCUAUGGCACACCUGUGACACACCUGUGACUCACCUGUGGCACCUAUGGCACACCUGUGACACACCCGUGACUCACCUGUGUUACCUGUGGCACACCUGUGACACACCUGUGACUCACCUGUGUUACCUGUGGCACACCUGGCACCUGCAUGGAUGGGGGGCAGCCAUCGCACCUGUGGGCACACCUGUGGCACACCUGUGGCACCUAUGGCACACCUGUGAUACACCUGUGACUCACCUGUGUUACCUGUGGCACACCUGUGACACACCUGUGACUCACCUGUGUUACCUGUGGCACACCUGUGUUACCUGUGGCACACCUGGCACCUGCUGCAGCAGCUUCAUGGAUUUGGGAGGGGCUAUCGCACCUGUGGCACACCUGUGACACACCUGUGGCACCUGCAUGGAUGGGGGGGCCAUCGCACCUGUGACACCUGUGGCACACCUGGCACCUGCUGCAUGGGCUUGGGGGUGUGGCACCCUUGGCACACCUGUGGCACACCUGUGACACACCUGGAAUCUGCAUGGAUGGGGGGCCAUCGCACCUGUGGCACACCUGUGGCACACCUGGCACCUGCUGCAUGGGCUUGGGGGGUGUGGCACCCUUGGCACACCUGCAACACACCUGUGGCAGCUGUUGCAUGGAUUGGGGUGGGCAUCGCACCUGUGGUGUCCGUCACACCUGUGCCCAGCACACCUGUUCACACCUGUACCAUCACACCUGUACCCAUCACACCUGUUCACACCUGUACCCAUCACACCUGGCACACCUAUACCCAUCACACCUGUACUAUCACACCUGCACCCAUCAUACCUAUACCCAUGUCACCUGUGCCCAUCACACCUGUUCACACCUGUACCAUCUCACCUGCACCCUUCACACCUAUGCCCAUCACACCUGGCACACCUGUACCCAUCUCACCUGUUCACACCUGUACCCAUCACACCUGUGCCCAUCACACCUGUUCACACCUGUACCAUCUCACCUGUGCCCAUCACACCUGUGCCCAUCACACCUGUCACACCUGCACCCAUCACACCUGUACUAUCACACCUGUCACACCUGCACCCAUCAUACCUACACCCAUGUCACCUGUAGCCAUCACACCUGCACCCUUCACACCUGUACCCGUCACACCUGUACCCGUCACACAUGUACCCAUUGCACCUGUACCCAUCACACCUGUCACACCUGUGCCCAUCAUACCUAUACCCAUGUCACCUGUACCCAUCACACCUGUUCACACCUGUACCCAUCUCACCUGCACCCAUCACACCUGUUCACACCUGUACCCAUCACACCUGGCACACCUGUACCCAUCUCACCUGCACCCAUCUCACCUGCACCCAUCACACCUGUUCACACCUGUACCUGUCCCACCUGCCCACCCACUUCGGGGUUAAAGGGAAGGACGUGGCUCGGGGGGCGUGU